RNAcentral lists this long non-coding RNA (1412 nucleotides) under Homo sapiens (human). Its description in RNAcentral is "HSALNT0154698". The record is from RNAcentral. Lineage: Eukaryota; Metazoa; Chordata; Mammalia; Primates; Hominidae.
GUUUGUUGGCAGCUACCUCUCCAAGAGAUCUCUUAGAAGUAAGAGAUUUUAUGGAACUAGGAAGAAGACACCUCAUAGGUUCAGGUUCAGUCCUGCGGCAGCUCUGCUCUGAAUAACUUGUCAUGUGCUUGAGAGUUUAAUCUAAGUCUUUGAUAGUAUACUUUUCUCCAAUGGAUGAAAGAUUCCCGGGAGUGUUAGAAACAACUGAGCUGAAGGAUUAUGGAUCCAGAUGGGGGUUUUGCCACAUUGGCCAGGCUGAUCUCAAACUCCUGACCUCAAGUGAUCUGCCCGCCUCGCCUCCCAAAUUGUUAGGAUUACAGCCAUUUCAGCUUGAUUAAGAACUGUUGCUGGGAACUACUGUGAUCAUUUGGAGAUGGGCAAAUUCAAGUACAUGGCUGCUAAAUAUGUUCUCCAUGAUUUUCUUCAUGUAAGUAUUACAAAAAAGUAAAACAGGAUCUCAUUUUGCUGAAUAUUAGAUGGAUAGUUUUGGGCAAAUUAAUUGCUAUAUUGAUGCCUGUUUUUAUAUUUGUCAAACUGGCAUAAUAAUUGCCCAUAUGUUGUAAGAUUGCCAUGACAAUCAAAUGAGAUAAGAUAAAAACAUUUAUUAAUUGAUGUCAUUGGCAAUCAGCAUGUAGUAGCUGCCAGAACAAAUGGUAGUUAUUUUUAUAUUAUUACCAAUAUUGUUGUUAUCUGAAUAUUUUAGCAUGUUUUCUUGAAGAGUAGCAACCCUAAAAUAUUGAUAUGGAUAUAACAAACAUCAGAGAUGAUCAGUUAUGGGGUCAAGGGGAGGGAGAAAAUUAUGCUGGGUUUUUUUUUAGGGUAUGGUAAUAGAAUGUUAUAAAAUGAGAACAUUAUAUUUCCAAGCAUAGGAAUGUGUGGAAAAUUUUGUAAGAGGCUCACCCAUCAUGGUUAUCUCUCCCUUUCACUGUCUGUGAGUUAUUUUAUAACCCAGCAGGUCAUUAGAAGAUGAUAAUAAUACAAACAAUUUUUGUUCAUGGUGGGGUGGACAGAAUAUGCCAUCCCAAGAUGUGAAAGAUGGCUGAACUGAAAACAAUUAAGAAGACACAGAUAUAGGAAAGCUCUCUGUACUCCAUCUAUUUGCCUAAAAGCAGAGCAUAGAUUUACAAGGGCAACCCCCUCACUCACCCCACCUUAUACCAAGGAGAAAAAGGUUAAUCGCCAAAGACAGCUUUACAUCUUUAUCGGUCUGGAGAUGGUCCCAGAGGGAAUCUACAUUAAGAAGCUCUACUAACUAACAUUUUUCUGCCAGUUAUUUGCCUUCUUCCAAGUUGCAGUCCUUAAAGGCUCAAAGUCCUUUUCCUUCGGUUACUUCUCUGAAACUUUAUUGCUCUUUGUUGAAGAUGCUACAUUAGCUAGAUUUCAAGCCUCUUUGAGAACUACUGAUCCCGAGU